UGCCUACGGGGCGCAGCAGUGAGGAAUAUUGGUCAAUGGGCGGGAGCCUGAACCAGCCAAGCCGCGUGAAGGAAGAAGGCGCCAGGCGUCGUAAACUUCUUUUGUCGGGGAACAAAGGGCGCCACGUGUGGCGUUGUGAGUGUACCCGAAGAAAAAGCAUCGGCUAACUCCGUGCCAGCAGCCGCGGUAAUACGGAGGAUGCGAGCGUUAUCCGGAUUUAUUGGGUUUAAAGGGUGCGUAGGCGGGCUUUUAAGUCAGCGGUAAAAAUUCGGGGCUCAACCCCGUCCGGCCGUUGAAACUGGGGG
Molecule: ribosomal RNA, 305 nt
Filed under: uncultured bacterium
Lineage: Bacteria
Description: bacterial SSU rRNA
Rfam family: Bacterial small subunit ribosomal RNA
Source: RNAcentral